Molecule: long non-coding RNA, 1411 nt
Organism: Melozone crissalis (California towhee)
Lineage: Eukaryota; Metazoa; Chordata; Aves; Passeriformes; Passerellidae
Exons: 5
Source: RefSeq, a predicted model, not a curated record
GGGAGAGGUGGCUCUGAUGUGAAGGUAGAGCCUGCAGGGCUGUGCUGAUGGUGAUGUCCCCCCAUUGAUGGGACAGCUCUUCCCAAGUCCUGUGGAGGGCACUGGGACAGCAGAGCAGGAGAAUCUGCUGGACACACAUAAAGGUCUGUUCCUGUUCCUGCCACAAAAGUGUCAAUUCCCUGUGAUAUCACAUGAUGAAACUAACCCAAACGUGCUGGAAUUACCGGCAGAUUGACUGGUGGUGAGCAAAAGGUUUUCUGAUGAUAUCUGACUCAUUAACAAAUGCAUUGAUGAGGAUUAAGGCUGGUUACCUGACCCUGCUCCUGUGUUCCAGGUGGUGCUGCUGGAAGCAUCUCUGAGGCAGAAGGACUCCAACAGAACACCUGGGCUUGAGGAGUUUGUGUAGACAGAACGUUUUUCUGCCUGUUACAAAGUGAGCAGGAGGAGGAGCUGUUAAUUUUCCAACUCUCCAUCUCAGAGAUGUGAGGCACAGAGGAGCUGCUGUUGGUGUCCUGCAAGAAAAGUGCCCCAGGGUCUGAGGACACCUCCUGAUGCUGAAAUAUUGAAUUCUUAGGGGAUAAAAGGAGCUCAAAUUAACCUGCAGCCAUGGGAUACCCCUGAGAUCAAGGAUUUUGUGGAGGUCCCAAGUGGACAGGGCACUGCUGUGGCUGAGAACAUCCAAAAUCGCGGUAGGAUUUAAAAAUAAAUGAAUAAAUAAAUAAAAAAUUGGCUGUGGACUGACUGAAAUUGAGGAGCAAUCAAAAUUCUGCAAUUCACCCAAAUGGAGUGACCAGAAUUGGAAUCGCCAAAUUCUCCAAAAUUUAGAGCCAGGAAAUUCCUCCUUUGGGUUCAUCCUCAUUUUUUUUUACUGAAUUUUACACAACCCCAGUGUGGGCACUGCUGGGAUUGCUCCUGAGCUGCCCCAGCCCUGUGGUCACAAAGGUUUAUAAAAAGGUUUAUAAACAGCACAGUUUAAAGCCUCUGCUCCCCACAGCUUGGAAAGACUUCCCUCCUCAGAGACUCUCAGGGUAAAGAGGAUUUUUAAAAUACAUAAAUUUCAAAAUAUGGAACUUUAAAGCUCCUUUUGAGCUUACCAAUAAAUUCAUUAAAAAUUGCUAAGUCUUUGCUGUUAAGAAAGCACCAGUGGGGAUUAAUUAUUGUGCUCUCUUCCUGUUCCAAGAGCUUUCCCAGUUUUGCCAAGGUUUGCACUUUUCUUGUCAGAAACUCCCAAAAUCCCUGGUACAACAUCAUCCCUGUGCUGCCCAAAUUCCAGCCUGCUCCUCCUGCAGAGUGCUGGAUUUUGGAGGGUAGGAAGGGCAGGUUGCUCAGCCUGGCCCUGAAAUGUGACAUCAAAAUUAACUUUAAUGUGUUUAUGAAAUGAUUGUGCCUGCUGGGAAUGCUCUGUGGGAAU